Molecule: ribosomal RNA, 424 nt
Filed under: uncultured bacterium
Lineage: Bacteria
Description: bacterial SSU rRNA
Rfam family: Bacterial small subunit ribosomal RNA
Source: RNAcentral
GAAUAUUGGACAAAGGGAGGAACCCUGAUCCAGCCAUGCCGCGUGUGUGAAGAAGGCCUUUUGGUUGUAAAGCACUUUAAGCGAGGAGGAGGCUACUCUAGUUCAUACCUAGAGAUAGUGGACGUUACUCGCAGAAUAAGCCCCUGCACACUCUUUGCCAGCAGCCGCGGUAAUUCAGAGGGUGCAAGCGUUAAUCGGAUUUACUGGGCGUAAAGCGCGCGUAGGUGGCCAAUUAAGUCAAAUGUGAAAUCCCCGAGCUUAACUUGGGAAUUGCAUUCGAUACUGGUUGGCUAGAGUAUGGGAGAGGAUGGUAGAAUUCCAGGUGUAGCGGUGAAAUGCGUAGAGAUCUGGAGGAAUACCGAUGGCGAAGGCAGCCAUCUGGCCUAAUACUGACACUGAGGUGCGAAAGCAUGGGGAGCAAACA